AUCAUCCUGGUCCCUCCAUGGUGAUUUUGGGGGGUCAGCCACGGAGAGCACCCCGGUCCCUCAAUGGUGCAAUUGGGGGUUCAGCUAGAGGGUGUACCCCAGGCCCCGAGGGUGCAUUUGGGGGUUCACCUAGAGGAUCACCCCGGUCCCCGAUGGUGAUUCUGGGGGGUCAGCCACAGAAAGCACCCCGGUCCCCGAUGGUGAUUGUGGGGUUCAGCCACAGAGAGCACUCCGGUCCCUCCAUGGUGGUUUCGGGGGGUCAGCUACAGAGUGCAUCCCGGUUCCUCAAUGGUGCAUUUGGGGGUUCAGCUAGGCAGUGCAUCCCGCUUUCUCCAUGGUGCAUUUGGGGGUUCAGCUAGAGGGUGUACCCCAGUGCCGUGAUGUGGUUUUGGGGUUCAACCACAGAGAGCACCCCGGUUUCUCCAUGGAGCAUUUGGGGGUUCAGCUAGACAGUGCACCCCGGUUUCUCCAUGGAGCAUUUGGGGGUCAGCUAGAGGGUGUACCCCAGUGCCGUGAUGUGGUUUUGGGGUUCAACCACAGAGAGCACCCCGGUUUCUCCAUGGAGCAUUUGGGGGUUCAGCUAGACAGUGCAUCCCAGUCCCGAAUGGUGCAUAUUUGGGGUUCAGCCACAGAGUGCACCCUGGUUUCUCAAUGGUGCAUUUGGGGGUUCAGCUAGACAGUGCACCCCGGUUUCUCCAUGGAGCAUUUGGGGGUUCAGCUAGACAGUGCAUCCCAGUCCCGAAUGGUGCAUAUUUGGGGUUUAGCCACAGAGUGCACCCCGGUUUCUCCAUGGAGCAUUUGGGGGUUCAGGCACAGAGUGCACCCCGGUUUCUCCAUGGAGCAUUUGGGGGGUCAGCCACAGAGAGCACCCAG
This is a long non-coding RNA of Pipistrellus kuhlii (Kuhl's pipistrelle), 873 nucleotides long. RefSeq lists it as uncharacterized. Lineage: Eukaryota; Metazoa; Chordata; Mammalia; Chiroptera; Vespertilionidae. The record is from RefSeq and is a predicted model, not a curated record. The transcript has 2 exons.